RNAcentral lists this ribosomal RNA (472 nucleotides) under uncultured organism. Its description in RNAcentral is "partial 16S ribosomal RNA". It matches the Rfam family "Bacterial small subunit ribosomal RNA", at positions 332 to 796 of the family's 1533-position model. The record is from RNAcentral.
UACACUCCUACGGGAGGCAGCAGUAGGGAAUCUUCGGCAAUGGGGGCAACCCUGACCGAGCAACGCCGCGUGAGUGAAGAAGGUUUUCGGAUCGUAAAGCUCUGUUGUAAGUCAAGAACGAGUGUGAGAGUGGAAAGUUCACACUGUGACGGUAGCUUACCAGAAAGGGACGGCUAACUACGUGCCAGCAGCCGCGGUAAUACGUAGGUCCCGAGCGUUGUCCGGAUUUAUUGGGCGUAAAGCGAGCGCAGGCGGUUUGAUAAGUCUGAAGUUAAAGGCUGUGGCUCAACCAUAGUUCGCUUUGGAAACUGUCAAACUUGAGUGCAGAAGGGGAGAGUGGAAUUCCAUGUGUAGCGGUGAAAUGCGUAGAUAUAUGGAGGAACACCGGUGGCGAAAGCGGCUCUCUGGUCUGUAACUGACGCUGAGGCUCGAAAGCGUGGGGAGCGAACAGGAUUAGAUACCCCAGUAGUCC